This 499-nucleotide ribosomal RNA is filed under the name uncultured bacterium. RNAcentral's name for it is "partial 16S ribosomal RNA". It matches the Rfam family "Bacterial small subunit ribosomal RNA", at positions 28 to 507 of the family's 1533-position model. The record is from RNAcentral.
GACGAACGCUGGCGGCGUGCUUAACACAUGCAAGUCGAACGGGCCCGCUCUCUUUUUUGGGGGUGGGUUGAGUGGCGAACGGGUGAGUAUCACGUGAGUAACCUGCCCCCUGCUCCUGGAUAACUGCUUGAAAGGGCGGCUAAUACGGGGUGUGCCGGCUGGUCCGCAUGGGCCUGGUCGGGAUAGUUUCAUCUUCGGGUGUUUCGGUGGGGGAUGGGCUCGCGGCCUAUCAGCUUGUUGGUGGGGUGCUGGCCCACCAAGGCGGUGGCGGGGCGCCGGCCUGAGAGGGUGGGCGGCCACGCUGGGACUGAGACACGGCCCAGACUCCUGCGGGAGGCAGCAGUGGGGGGUAUUGCACAAUGGGCGGAAGCCUGAUGCAGCGACGGCGCGUGAGGGAUGGAGGCCUUCGGGUUGUGAACCUCUUUCUCCGGUGGUGAAGGCCCUGUCCGUUGCGGCGGGGUUGACGGUAGCCGGGUAUGAAGCGCCGGCUAACUACGUG